GACGAACGCUGGCGGCGUGCCUAAUACAUGCAAGUUGAGCGCUGAAGGUUGGUACUUGUACCAACUGGAUGAGCAGCGAACGGGUGAGUAACGCGUGGGGAAUCUGCCUUUGAGCGGGGGACAACAUUUGGAAACGAAUGCUAAUACCGCAUAAAAACUUUAAACACAAGUUUUAAGUUUGAAAGAUGCAAUUGCAUCACUCAAAGAUGAUCCCGCGUUGUAUUAGCUAGUUGGUGAGGUAAAGGCUCAUCAAGGCGAUGAUACAUAGCCGACCUGAGAGGGUGAUCGGCCACAUUGGGACUGAGACACGGCCCAAACUCCUACGGGAGGCAGCAGUAGGGAAUCUUCGGCAAGGGACGAAAGUCUGACCGAGCAACGCCGCGUGAGUGAAGAAGGGUUUCGGAUCGUAAAACUCUGUUGGUAGAGAAGAACGUUGGUGAGAGUGGAAAGCUCAUCAAGUGACGGUAACUACCCAGAAAGGGACGGCUAACUACGUG
RNAcentral lists this ribosomal RNA (497 nucleotides) under uncultured bacterium. Its description in RNAcentral is "partial 16S ribosomal RNA". It matches the Rfam family "Bacterial small subunit ribosomal RNA", at positions 28 to 507 of the family's 1533-position model. The record is from RNAcentral.